GACGAACGCUGGCGGCGUGCUUAACACAUGCAAGUCGAACGGAAAGGCCCUGCUUUUGUGGGGUGCUCGAGUGGCGAACGGGUGAGUAACACGUGAGUAACCCGCCCUUGACUUUGGGAUAACUUCAGGAAACUGGGGCUAAUACCGGAUAGGAGCUCUUGCUGCAUGGUGGGGGUUGGAAAGUUUCGGCGGUUGGGGAUGGACUCGCGGGUUAUCAGCUUGUUGGUGGGGUAGUGGCUUACCAAGGCUUUGACGGGUAGCCGGCCUGAGAGGGUGACCGGCCACAUUGGGACUGAGGUACGGCCCAGACUGCUACGGGAGGCAGCAGUGGGGAGUAUUGCACAAUGGGCGGGAGCCUGAUACAGCAACGCCGCGUGCGGGAUGACGGCCUUCGGGUUGUGAACCGCUUUCGCCUGAGACGAAGCGUGAGUGACGGUAAUGGGUAAAGAAGCACCGGCUAACUACGUG
RNAcentral lists this ribosomal RNA (468 nucleotides) under uncultured bacterium. Its description in RNAcentral is "partial 16S ribosomal RNA". It matches the Rfam family "Bacterial small subunit ribosomal RNA", at positions 28 to 507 of the family's 1533-position model. The record is from RNAcentral.